GAACGGUUCACGGCCGAACCGAGCAGCAGGAACCGGUUAUUGGAAGGCAACCGGAGCUGAUAAACCGGUGGGAAAACCCAAAACCUUAGGGAUAAAGAAGGCACUUGUGUUCUAUGCCGGAAAAGCACCCAGAGGUAUAAAAACCAAUUGGAUUAUGCACGAGUACCGCCUCGCCAACGUGGACCGCUCUGCUGGCAAGAACAAUAACUUGAGGCUUGAUGAUUGGGUAUUGUGUCGAAUAUACAACAAGAAAGGCACACUUGAGAAGCAUUACAAUGUGGACAACAAGGAAACUACAAGCUUUGGAGAAUUUGAUGAAGAAAUAAAACCAAAAAUAUUGCCCACACAAUUAGCACCGAUGCCACCACGGCCUCGAUCGACACCAGCAAACGACUACUUUUAUUUCGAGUCAUCAGAGUCGAUGACUAGAAUGCACACGACAAACUCGAGCUCUGGCUCAGAGCAUGUCUUGUCGCCAUGUGACAAGGAGGUUCAGAGCGCGCCCAAAUGGGACGAAGACCACAGAAACACCCUUGAUUUUCAGCUAAACUAUUUGGAUGGUUUACUAAAUGAACCAUUUGAAACCCAAAUGCAGCAGCAAAUUUGCAACUUUGACCAGUUCAACAAUUUCCAAGACAUGUUCCUAUACAUGCAAAAACCUUACUAAAAUUGUAUAAAUUCAUUGGAUCUAAAUUGAGUGUGAUCCAUGACAUUUUCUUUGUUCUUUGGUGGUGUAGGUCAACUUUUUAUUAAGUAGUUUAGAGAAGUACAAAAUGCUAGUCAAAUUUGGUGGGCUACAGCACAAAUGAGCCUUGAUAAGCAUAGCCAAAGAGUCAUAUAGAAGGGCUUAUUAU
RNAcentral lists this unclassified non-coding RNA (854 nucleotides) under Hevea brasiliensis (rubber tree). Lineage: Eukaryota; Viridiplantae; Streptophyta; Magnoliopsida; Malpighiales; Euphorbiaceae. The record is from RNAcentral.